CGGGACACGUGGUAUCCUGUCUGAAUAUGGGGGGACCAUCCUCCAAGGCUAAAUACUCCUGACUGACCGAUAGUGAACCAGUACCGUGAGGGAAAGGCGAAAAGAACCCCGGCGAGGGGAGUGAAAAAGAACCUGAAACCGUGUACGUACAAGCAGUGGGAGCACGCUUAGGCGUGUGACUGCGUACCUUUUGUAUAAUGGGUCAGCGACUUAUAUUCUGUAGCAAGGUUAACCGAAUAGGGGAGCCGAAGGGAAACCGAGUCUUAACUGGGCGUUAAGUUGCAGGGUAUAGACCCGAAACCCGGUGAUCUAGCCAUGGGCAGGUUGAAGGUUGGGUAACACUAACUGGAGGACCGAACCGACUAAUGUUGAAAAAUUAGCGGAUGACUUGUGGCUGGGGGUGAAAGGCCAAUCAAACCGGGAGAUAGCUGGUUCUCCCCGAAAGCUAUUUAGGUAGCGCCUCGUGAAUUCAUCUCCGGGGGUAGAGCACUGUUUCGGCAAGGGGGUCAUCCCGACUUACCAACCCGAUGCAAACUGCGAAUACCGGAGAAUGUUAUCACGGGAGACACACGGCGGGUGCUAACGUCCGUCGUGAAGAGGGAAACAACCCAGACCGCCAGCUAAGGUCCCAAAGUCAUGGUUAAGUGGGAAACGAUGUGGGAAGGCCCAGACAGCCAGGAUGUUGGCUUAGAAGCAGCCAUCAUUUAAAGAAAGCGUAAUAGCUCACUGGUCGAGUCGGCCUGCGCGGAAGAUGUAACGGGGCUAAACCAUGCACCGAAGCUGCGGCAGCGACGCUUAUGCGUUGUUGGGUAGGGGAGCGUUCUGUAAGCCUGUGAAGGUGUGCUGUGAGGCAUGCUGGAGGUAUCAGAAGUGCGAAUGCUGACAUAAGUAACGAUAAAGCGGGUGAAAAGCCCGCUCGCCGGAAGACCAAGGGUUCCUGUCCAACGUUAAUCGGGGCAGGGUGAGUCGACCCCUAAGGCGAGGCCGAAAGGCGUAGUCGAUGGGAAACAGGUUAAUAUUCCUGUACUUGGUGUUACUGCGAAGGGGGGACGGAGAAGGCUAUGUUGGCCGGGCGACGGUUGUCCCGGUUUAAGCGUGUAGGCUGGUUUUCCAGGCAAAUCCGGAAAAUCAAGGCUGAGGCGUGAUGACGAGGCACUACGGUGCUGAAGCAACAAAUGCCCUGCUUCCAGGAAAAGCCUCUAAGCAUCAGGUAACAUCAAAUCGUACCCCAAACCGACACAGGUGGUCAGGUAGAGAAUACCAAGGCGCUUGAGAGAACUCGGGUGAAGGAACUAGGCAAAAUGGUGCCGUAACUUCGGGAGAAGGCACGCUGAUAUGUAGGUGAAGCGACUUGCUCGUGGAGCUGAAAUCAGUCGAAGAUACCAGCUGGCUGCAACUGUUUAUUAAAAACACAGCACUGUGCAAACACGAAAGUGGACGUAUACGGUGUGACGCCUGCCCGGUGCCGGAAGGUUAAUUGAUGGGGUUAGCGCAAGCGAAGCUCUUGAUCGAAGCCCCGGUAAACGGCGGCCGUAACUAUAACGGUCCUAAGGUAGCGAAAUUCCUUGUCGGGUAAGUUCCGACCUGCACGAAUGGCGUAAUGAUGGCCAGGCUGUCUCCACCCGAGACUCAGUGAAAUUGAACUCGCUGUGAAGAUGCAGUGUACCCGCGGCAAGACGGAAAGACCCCGUGAACCUUUACUAUAGCUUGACACUGAACAUUGAGCCUUGAUGUGUAGGAUAGGUGGGAGGCUUUGAAGUGUGGACGCCAGUCUGCAUGGAGCCGACCUUGAAAUACCACCCUUUAAUGUUUGAUGUUCUAACGUUGACCCGUAAUCCGGGUUGCGGACAGUGUCUGGUGGGUAGUUUGACUGGGGCGGUCUCCUCCUAAAGAGUAACGGAGGAGCACGAAGGUUGGCUAAUCCUGGUCGGACAUCAGGAGGUUAGUGCAAUGGCAUAAGCCAGCUUGACUGCGAGCGUGACGGCGCGAGCAGGUGCGAAAGCAGGUCAUAGUGAUCCGGUGGUUCUGAAUGGAAGGGCCAUCGCUCAACGGAUAAAAGGUACUCCGGGGAUAACAGGCUGAUACCGCCCAAGAGUUCAUAUCGACGGCGGUGUUUGGCACCUCGAUGUCGGCUCAUCACAUCCUGGGGCUGAAGUAGGUCCCAAGGGUAUGGCUGUUCGCCAUUUAAAGUGGUACGCGAGCUGGGUUUAGAACGUCGUGAGACAGUUCGGUCCCUAUCUGCCGUGGGCGCUGGAGAACUGAGGGGGGCUGCUCCUAGUACGAGAGGACCGGAGUGGACGCAUCACUGGUGUUCGGGUUGUCAUGCCAAUGGCACUGCCCGGUAGCUAAAUGCGGAAGAGAUAAGUGCUGAAAGCAUCUAAGCACGAAACUUGCC
Molecule: ribosomal RNA, 2395 nt
Filed under: Escherichia coli
Lineage: Bacteria; Pseudomonadati; Pseudomonadota; Gammaproteobacteria; Enterobacterales; Enterobacteriaceae
Description: partial 23S ribosomal RNA
Rfam family: Bacterial large subunit ribosomal RNA
Source: RNAcentral